GCUGGAUGUAGAUGAGGAGGAGGAUGAGGAGGCUCUUUGACCUGGAGGGUGAUCGCUCACGGAGUAUCACCCCAGGUAGUGGUGCUGAUGAUCCACUACCAUCUCCGGAUGCAGAUGCUGGAUAUUCAUCACCCGGCCCCUCUGAUGCAGCACCAGAACCAUCCCCCGACGCAGCACCAGAA
This is a long non-coding RNA of Asparagus officinalis (garden asparagus), 182 nucleotides long. RefSeq lists it as uncharacterized. The record is from RefSeq and is a predicted model, not a curated record. The transcript is spliced from 3 exons. Lineage: Eukaryota; Viridiplantae; Streptophyta; Magnoliopsida; Asparagales; Asparagaceae.